UGAUACUAAGCCAUGCGAGUCAUUGUAGCAAUACAAGGCAUACGGCUCAGUAACGCGUAGUCAACCUAACCUAUGGACGGGAAUAACCUCGGGAAACUGAGAAUAAUGCCCGAUAGAACAUUAUGCCUGGAAUGGUUUAUGUUCCAAAUGAUUUAUCGCCGUAGGAUGGGACUGCGGCCUAUCAGUUUGUUGGUGAGGUAAUGGCCCACCAAGACUAUUACAGGUACGGGCUCUGAGAGGAGUAGCCCGGAGAUGGGUACUGAGACACGGACCCAGGCCCUAUGGGGCGCAGCAGGCGAGAAAACUUUGCAAUGUGCGAAAGCACGACAAGGUUAAUCCGAGUGGUCUCUGCUAAAGGAACCUUUUGUCAGUCCUAGAAACACUGAUGAAUAAGGGGUGGGCAAGUUCUGGUGUCAGCCGCCGCGGUAAAACCAGCACCUCAAGUGGUCAGGAUGAUUAUUGGGCCUAAAGCAUCCGUAGCCGGCUCUGUAAGUUUUCGGUUAAAUCUGUACGCUCAACGUACAGGCUGCCGGGAAUACUGCAAAGCUAGGGAGUGGGAGAGGUAGACGGUACUCGGUAGGAAGGGGUAAAAUCCUUUGAUCUAUUGAUGACCACCUGUGGCGAAGGCGGUCUACCAGAACACGUCCGACGGUGAGGGAUGAAAGCUGGGGGAGCAAACCGGAUUAGAUACCCGGGUAGUCCCAGCUGUAAACCAUGCAAACUCAGUGAUGCAUUGGCUUGUGGCCAAUGCAGUGCUGCAGGGAAGCCGUUAAGUUUGCCGCCUGGGAAGUACGUACGCAAGUAUGAAACUUAAAGGAAUUGGCGGGGGAGCACCACAAGGGGUGAAGCCUGCG
RNAcentral lists this ribosomal RNA (854 nucleotides) under uncultured archaeon. RNAcentral's name for it is "bacterial SSU rRNA". It matches the Rfam family "Archaeal small subunit ribosomal RNA", at positions 39 to 899 of the family's 1478-position model. The record is from RNAcentral.